GGAUGCGAUCAUACCAGCACUAAUACACCGGAUCUCAUCAGAACUCCGCAGUUAAGCGUGCUUGGGCGAGAGUAGUACUAGGAUGGGUGACCUCCUGGGAAGUCCUCGUGUUGCACCCC
RNAcentral lists this ribosomal RNA (119 nucleotides) under Gossypium raimondii (Peruvian cotton). Lineage: Eukaryota; Viridiplantae; Streptophyta; Magnoliopsida; Malvales; Malvaceae. The record is from RNAcentral.